GGUGGCGAAGAGUUGACAAUCGCCAGUCGAUAGCAAAACAUGAGAGAGUGCUCAUCGCGCAGCAAUACGCGUCUACUUAGUGUGGUAAUCGUAAUCGAUCAACGUCUCAGAAUCGACACUUGUCGAUAUUUAAUCGAGAUACUAUCUCGCCGCAUAACGGGCGAUUAACGAUAGUUGGUUAGACCUGUUCCCACAUCUAUGGAGUUUCAUCUAGACAGUGCAGAAUACUGCCAGGCACAGCACAAAUAAAAAGUAAGCAAUCCUACAAAAAGGCGGAGAUAGCCUGAGUAAACACAGUCAUCUCUUCGGGAGUCGACAUCGAUAAGUGGUGUGGAUACCAUCGGAAUAAUACCGUCAACGGAUCAGCUGAAGUAGCGACAGCAGCGGCAUCAAUUAGCCCAAGACUGUCGAUCUAUGGGAGAGAAAGAGGAAUACUAAAUUCAAAGCAUCGCGGUGAUCACAGAUCAUAUCACAGCAAGGAAAUAUUUAAAUUUUUAACAACGAAACCUUGAAAAAGUUGUAAUAUUUUCGAAAACAAAACGGGAACUGAGCCCAAAUCAUUUUUGUUAGCUUAAAAUACGUGUGACACUUAACAGGGAACCCUUUUUUCAGUCAAAGAAAAUUGAUUGAUUUUCUUUGUGAUAGCAGAAAAAUCCAUAAUUGUA
This is an RNA transcript of Drosophila simulans, 665 nucleotides long. RefSeq lists it as uncharacterized. Lineage: Eukaryota; Metazoa; Arthropoda; Insecta; Diptera; Drosophilidae. The record is from RefSeq and is a predicted model, not a curated record. The transcript is spliced from 3 exons.